Molecule: long non-coding RNA, 807 nt
Organism: Strongylocentrotus purpuratus (purple sea urchin)
Lineage: Eukaryota; Metazoa; Echinodermata; Echinoidea; Camarodonta; Strongylocentrotidae
Exons: 4
Source: RefSeq, a predicted model, not a curated record
UUCUGAAGCCUGCCGCCUUGCAUUCAUCAGAGCUUACCGCAAUUCCCGUAUUUUCUGCCAGCCUGCCGUCUCGAAGCCCGUUAUUUUUGGCGCAAUAUUUGUUCCUUCAGUUUCCGUUAUAACUAUAUACUGUUCGAUUUCGGCUUUCUGUUCAUUCUUGAUGAGUGGUCAAAGGAAAGUUUCGACUUUGAUAAUGGCGUCUAAAACCCUGAUUGCUCUCUACUUUCUGAUUGCCUUGGCCGUGGCAGCAAGCGUUUUAGUCGAGCAAUAUGAGAUCGACAAUUCUAAUGGGGUGAAAUAUUCGUGGAACAGCCGAAAAUCUGAGGCAACAAAAUCUGGUAAAAUCGGUGGAAGGGCCCCGAGAAAACGACAUAUUUCUUAGUAAUAGCAGCAUCGAGAAGAUCGGAAAGCAUACCAGCUGGAUCUUGUCAGACGUCUUCUCUGUUUGUUGAGACUUUUGUCAAACUGAUGCGAGAACCAAAAAAAAAAUCAUCGGUGAUCAGUCAUCAUUGACCUUAACCCUAACCCCAACGAAUUCAUAACUUUGCCUCUAAAAUAUAAAAAUUGAAUAAAUAUAUAUAUAUAUAAUACAAUUUGAAUCUUGUUUCAAAAGUAAUGUAUCACUAUGCCUACAUGUAGCCCAUAUAUUUUUGUGUUGACGGUUAGUCAAUUCACUGGAAAUUGGAUUGUUUUGAUAUAAUGCAUUAAAGAGUACAGUCUUGUACAUGUGCUUCAUAAUUUAAGAAAAAACGUGCAGAGGAAACCAUUGAGGUGUAUACAUUAAUAUAAAUCGAUGAUCUAAACAGU